RNAcentral lists this small RNA (127 nucleotides) under Marmota monax (woodchuck). The record is from RNAcentral. Lineage: Eukaryota; Metazoa; Chordata; Mammalia; Rodentia; Sciuridae.
GCUGGGCACGGUGAUGCAUGCCUGUAACCCCAGCAGCUCAGGAGGCUGAGACAGGAGGAUCAUGAGUUCAAAACAGCCUCAGCAAAAACUGAGGUGCGUUAAGCAACUCAGUGAGACCCUGUCUCUA